This is a long non-coding RNA of Sapajus apella (tufted capuchin), 609 nucleotides long. RefSeq lists it as uncharacterized. The transcript is spliced from 4 exons. Lineage: Eukaryota; Metazoa; Chordata; Mammalia; Primates; Cebidae. The record is from RefSeq and is a predicted model, not a curated record.
ACUGCAGCUUCAAGCAAAUGCAACCCAGAAGGCGAGUGAUCUCCCCAUUUCCAAAUGAGGCACCAGGUUAAUUUCAAUGGGACUGGUUGGACAGUGAGUUUAAACCAAAGAGGGCAAACUGAGGCAGAGUGGGCCACUGCCCCACCUGGGAAGUGCUUCUGACCAGAGGAUUGGGGGUUCUCCCCCUCUGGCACUCUGGUUCAGAUACUGUGCUUCACCCAAGCCCUCUGCAACCCACAGAACAGGAGAUCUUCCCCGGGCUGAAAAGCACCCAUGAGUUAAGUGCACAGAGCUGAGCAGUAAUCCUGGCCAGUGCUGUGGGUUGUCAGCACAGAUCUAAGUGGAUGCAUUGGCUAAUGCUGAGAAAGCCUGUGGGACUGAGCUACCUGCCCGCCAGGAAGAAGGGGAACUGAAAGCAGUUGAGUCAGGCAAUACACUAGGUGGGUCUCUUCUCCCCAACAAAGCCCAGCAAACUGAAGCCCUAUUGCUUAAGAGUUUUGCAGCCGGCACAUCCAUUCGAGCUUGAUCCUGAAUGAUUGAGCUCAGUGGGGGAAAGGGCAGCCACCAUUGCAGAGGCAGGUCUAAUCUUCCUGUGUAAACAAAUGACAC